Molecule: long non-coding RNA, 18713 nt
Filed under: Ananas comosus (pineapple)
Lineage: Eukaryota; Viridiplantae; Streptophyta; Magnoliopsida; Poales; Bromeliaceae
Description: long non-coding RNA (ACOM_LNC023658)
Source: RNAcentral
GCCAACGAACAAUAAGUUAAAAAGAAUUAGAUUGAAUAUAUAUAAAAAAUAAAUUUAUAAAAUCUUAUUCAUUAGACUUUGAUCUAAUAGUUAAAACUUUACAUAUAAAUGUGUCUUUUUGUAAUUUAGCUCGCAUUUAUAUUUUUAUUUUGCUAAAAAUUAAAUAAUAAAAAUAUAUAUUAUAUAUAAUUAUUUAUUUAUAUAUAAAAAUAUAAAUUAAAUAAAUUAUAUAAAUAUAAAAUAUAUGUAUUCGAGCUGUAAUCGAGCCGAACACGAGCGAGCUAACCCCAGCUUGUGUUCGGCUCGUUUAUUAAACGAGCUGAAAAAUUCGGCUCGUUUACUAAACGAGCGAUUCGAUCUCGAGCUCAUUUCGAGUCGAACGCGAGCUGGCUUGCAAACAGUGAGCUGGAUUGCCACCCCUAGUUAUAUAUCUCAUGGUCUUGGUAUUUAAAAUCAUUUAUUUGGCUUUAACCUUUUCAAUUUUUCAGGUUUUCGUGCAAUUGGUUGUGGAUUCUUAAUAUCUCUUGGCGCUGCAAUCCUCCUAAAUCUUCUCUUGAGUUUUCCCACCCAACAAGUAAGAUUCAUGUUGGACAUAUAAUAUUAUUGAUAGUUUUUACAACUAUCUAUUUUUGAUCCUUGAAUGUUUAGGGUUUCUGUUACGGUAGUGGUAUUCUUAUGGAUCCAAGGACUAGAAAAUUGACAGUGUUCGUUAAAGGACUAGUGCUCUGCCUCACGGCGGGAGGUAGGAUUGGGCCAAAUAACGUUCGAAAUAGUGGGAAGCUAUGUCGGGUUAGGUCACAUUUGAAAUGGCCGAAGACUGGCUAGGUUGAGUCACGAUCGAUACCUGUAAAUGUUGUUUCUAUAUAUUUUGAAGGUUAAAUUACAGAAAACCCUCCUAUCAAAAUUCGACUUUUCACUUUCCUUUCCUAUCAUUUAAAAACCUACACUUUGCCCCCCUAAAAAAUAAAAAAUAUUCACUUUGAACCCCGUCGUUAGUGUUCUGUCUAUAUCCCAUUAUUAUAUAUUUAUUUAUACCGAAAAUGCCCUUCUACAGAUAAAGGAGGGUUGGAGGAGGAGAGGAAGAGGGAGAGGGCAUUUUGGUCAUUUUCUCAAUACUAUUAACACUGUACUCUCCUGUGAAUAUUUUUUAUUUUUUAGGAGGGCAAAGUGUAGGUUUGUAAAUGACAUGGAGGGAAAGUGAAAAAUCAGAUUUUGAUAGAAAAAUUUUCUGUAAUUUAGUCUAUUUUAAAUGAAUUAUUUGUGCCUUUCUAAUAGCUUGACAUUUCGGAAUUAAUAGGUUAUGUUAACAAUCCUACAAAUUGUAACAAGUGCUUUGCUUGUACCAAUAAUAUUUUAGCUCAACUUUAUAUAUAUACAGUACUAAUAAUUUGUUGAAUCUAAACCAUGGGAUCAAAAUAUUUAAAUACGGUCGUUAAUAUUAGCGUAUGUGACUCACACUCUUCCACAUUAUUUUGGACUAUUGAGAUAUCACCGAUUCCUCCAUUUAGACCUUAACGUUCUCGUCACGCCUAAUUCCGUACGAUGUCCACUCUCACUCCUAAUUGAAUCCCAUCACAUUUCUUUCAACUGGUUAUCUGGCUUUGAUACUAAAUGCAAUGUCUCAAAUUAUUGAUAUCAAUAACUCGUUAGGUCUAAACUAUCAGUUCUAAAUGCUUGAGCCCAAUAUUUUUUUUUUAAUACUCUUAAAUGCAAAAGUGUAAGAUAUAUACCUACAUACGAAAUGUAUAGGUAUCUUUUUUUAAAAAAAAAAAAUUUGUGCAUCAGCAAAAUGCAAAAAAAAAAAAAAAAAAAAAAAAAAAAAAAAAAAAAAAAAAUCAGGAAAGAAACACCUAAGAUGUGAAUCAUACAAAAAGCUUUGCAUUUAUAGAAUUGUAAUCAAUUCAGAGCAUAGCUAGAAAAAUAUGUUUCUUCAAUUUCAUGUGCCUUAAACAACCAAACAAGAUGUUUGUAAGUAAACAAAAGUGAUAUUUUUGGUUUCUUAUCUUGUUCCAUUUUUAUUCAUAUAUUGAGAUAAUCUAGCAAUUAUUCAUUUUUUAUUAUUAUUUGAUUUAAUUGUUGUUUUAAUGUAGGGAUGGAUACCUUCUCCUCUCUUUCCCAUUUACAUAAGAAACAUUCACAAAGCAAAGCAUGGAAGUGAUCUGAGACCUACGACACAGAAGGAAGGUCUGUAUUGCAGUAGUACUCCAAUUUAAAAAAAAAACUAAAUUACAUAAAACUUUACUGUCAAAACUCGAUUUUUCACUUUUCCCCCCUGUCAUUUAAAAACCUACACUUUGCCCCCUUAUAAAAUAAAAAAUGUUUACUUCACCCUCUACCGUUAGUGAUCCGUUAGGAUUCCCGUUUAUAAAAUAUUAUUAUAUAUUUUUUUAUGCCAAAAAUAUCCUCAGCCUUCUCUCCUAUUGCCAAAAAUGGUAAGAGGCAAAAUGGUCAUUUUGUCAUUACAGUUUAUACCGUACCCUCAAACAAAGUGUAGGUAUUUAAAUGACAGGGGAGAAAAGUGAAAAAUCGGGUUUUGACAGGAGAUUUUAUGUAAUUUAGUCUAAAAAAAAUAAAAGAGAUAAUAUCUAAUAUGCUCAUCAAAAUUUUCAAAAUAUCUAAUAUAUCCAUUAUUGACUAGAAUGCCCUUAUUAAUUUCUGAAUUUUUUUUUUCAAAUAUCUCCUAAACCUUUAUUAGGGUUUACUGGUGGAAAUUGGGAUUUAAAAGAGUAUUUUGAAUAUAGAGAGGUAAAUUUGAAAACUUUGAAUAGUUGUGAAGGGUAUAUAAGCAAAGCGACUCUGAGACCUAUGACACAGAAGGAAGGUUUGUUUUGCGGUAGUACUCCUAUGAUUUUUUUUUUAAAAAAACUAUCUUUGAUUUAUGUCAUGCAGAUUCGACCCAUCGAAGUUCGACGCCAUUUUCAGUAAAUAUGCAAUAACUCAUGCAAAUGCUUUAACCGCAAACGAGGUAUCCACAAUGCUGAAAGCCAAUCGCAACGCCUUGGAUUUCAUUGGACGGUGAGCACCAGCUGAAUCAUAUUAACAAACAAAUUGAAAGGUUGGAUAGUAAAAUCAAAAUUUUGAAAAGUUGAGUUGCCGAUUCAAAUUAGCUUAUAGUCCAGAUAAGUUCUAUAUGUAUUUAUCUAAAAAAAACUUGCUAUUAGAAUUAAUGAUAAUUUAGUACAUAAGCAAAGUUGAGCUGCCGAUUCAAACUAGCUUAUAGUUCAGAUAAGUUCGGUACGUUUCUUCGAUCUUUACAUAAAUCCAAUAAAUUUGACUUAAAUUAAUAUACUACUUAACUCUUUCAUUGCCAAAAUCAUAUGCAGGGUUAUCAAUUUCGCAGAAUGGGAGCUUCUUUACUCAUUGGGGAAAGAUGAGAAAGGUUUGUUACACCGCGAAACUGUCAGAAGCGUCUUCGAUGGCAGUUUAUUUGUGCAGCUUGAACUGAAGAACAAGAAGAAGAUGAUGAAAUCGAACUAAAUGAUGUACACAUUAAUAGCGGAUGAUAUUGAUAUAUAUAUAAUAAUAAUAUGGGAAAAAAGUGUGAUUGUCAAAAUUAAAAGUUUAAUAAGCGCAUAUUUGUUAAAAUAAUAAUAAUAAUAAUAAUAAUAAUUAAAGUUUAGAAGUUUCAAUACAUUUUACCCUCAUAAUAAUUAAUAAAUAAUACGCAAAAGAGAGUGUAAAAUAAUGAAACCAUUCGCUAUGAUCUCUUAUAUAUAUGUGUUGUUUAAUUUUCUUUGUUAAAUGUGAGAGAUGUGAUAUCAUUCAAUAAGGAUGAGAAAUAUUUUCCAUCACAUUGUUUAAUAUAUAAGCUCUCUUUAAAUUAAAUUAGCGAGCGUUUCGUNAUAUGUGUUGUUUAAUUUUCUUUGUUAAAUGUGAGAGAUGUGAUAUCAUUCAAUAAGGAUGAGAAAUAUUUUCCAUCACAUUGUUUAAUAUAUAAGCUCUCUUUAAAUUAAAUUAGAGAGCGUUUCGUACCUCAGUAAAGUGUGAAAAUUACUUUCUGAAAAAAAUAAAAAAUAAAUUUUUUCAUAAUUAAAAGAGUAAAUUUUUUUUUUUUUUCAUAAAAUUUGGAGAAAAAGACUUUCGGAAAAACUAAUUUUUCUAAACCAAUUUUUAUAUUACCAUUAGUAAAACUACAUUACCAUUUAUAAAUCUAUAAUCUUGGACAAAAUUUAGCGACUUUAUCAAGAAAACAUCUAAUUAAAUGAUACAAAAAAUAUAAAAUGAAAUCUUUCAUUAAAAAUAUUUAUUAAAUUAUUUUCAACUGUUAUUUUUUUUAAUUUACAUAUUUUAUUUUUUUUGCCUCAAAAUAAGCUGAAUAUAUGCUUUCAUUUGCUUUCUUUUAAUAAUUUUUAUUUAAUAUUAUAGAUUUAUUACUUAUAACAUAGCAUUUGAAAAAAAAAAUUAUAGCUGAAUAGUGUGUUUGAAAAAAAUAUAUAGUCUAGAAAAUGAAAAAAUUAUAAAUUAUAUUGUAGUAUAAUGUAAUUUAGGGUAAUGAAAAUAAAUAUUUACAGUCGGAAAUAUACCACCGCUUUCAGUUAAGGUGGCUCAACUCGUGUUCGGCUCGAUAUUUGGCUCGCUCGAGCUCGGCUCGAAUUAAUUUCAAACAAGCUUGAGUCUAAAUUUAGGCUCGAAAUUAAUUUCAAGCCGAGCUUGAGUAUUACUUGGCUCGCUCGAAUUAAGCUCGAAAAUCUCGAUAUAUAUAUAUAUAUAUAUAUAUAUAUAUAUAUANUAUAUAUAUAUAUAUAUAUAUAUAUAUAUAUAUAUAUAUAUAUAUAUAUAUAUAUAUAUAUAUAAAAUUGAGCUAGAAUACGUUUAGAAGCACGAAUCCCUUGGUGCUUCUAGGUUUCUAGUUCUUGGAUCUAUUCCUUAAUUACUAAUAACCCUUGGAUCAAAUAUUAUUCUACCUACUACCACCUACCACCAUCAUCCCAACCCUAUAUCUCUCCAUCCAAGGGCUAAAAACUCAAAAGCACCACCCUCUUGGUACUUUUGAGAGUAUUCUAGCUCAACUCUCUCUCUCUCUCUCUCUCUCUCUCUCUCUCUCUCUAUAUAUAUAUAUAUAUAUAUAUAUAUAUAUAGUCUGCUAUAUUAUUAAUAGUACCAACACUCGCUAUUAGGUUUUCGGCCUUUGGAUGAAGGAAUGUAUAGUUAGAAUGAUAGUGAUCUCCUAGCGUUGAGUGGGCGGUUAGUUGAAUAAUAUGAUCUAAUGGCACAAAAUUCGAUAAUAUAGUAUCCGGACUCUCUCUCUCUCUCUCUCUCUCUAUAUAUAUAUAUAUAUAGUCCGGCUACUAUACUAUCUAUAGUACUAAGCGCUUUGUAGUAUUGAGUUUUUUGCCGUUAGAUCUGCCUAUAUAUAUAUAUAUAGAGUCUGGCUAUUAUACUAUCGAUAGUACCAAAUAUUUGGCGUUAGCUAUCAAGUUUCUGCUGUUAGAUCUAUCCCUUUGGUCAUUUUUUUAUCCAUUAGAUCAUAAUAUUCAACUAGCCACCCACUCAACCCUAGAGGGCUACAAAUAUUUGGUCGCAACAAUGCAAAACUUCAGCCAAUAAGUUUCAUCAGAUGACAAUUGGUUGGAUACAGUGGAGCAGAAUACAUAAAUUGAAUGCAUUGUCUAAUAAAUUGUUAGUUUAGGUAGCUGGAGACAAAAUGCGACCUCACUUUUUAGUGUUUUAAUUCUAUUACUUUGAUUUUCAUUUCAAAAUUUCAUCCUUAUAGUUUUGAUUGUAACACUUUAGUCCCUGAAAUCUCUGUGUUGAUUACACCCUCGGAGAAAAAAAAUCUGCAAUGUCGAGCAUGCAUUAGAAGUUGCAUUUUGAAUGAUUAUUGAUUCUGGAUACAAAGUUUCACGGGAAUGACUUGGUGGAUGUCUUUGGUUAUAUUUAAUAGAGUAAAAUUUCAUAAAUUGAAUAAAUUGUCUAAUACACUGUUAAUUUGGGUAGCAUUUAGUUUAAAAAAAAAAAAUCUCACUUUUUUUUUUUUAUUAAAUAUAUUACUUUGACCUACAUUUCAAAAUUUCGUCCUCAUAGUUUCAAUGGUGACAAGUUAUUCCCCGAAAUUUUACCUAAGUCCUUUUGUUAAUCUAAUUAAUUACAAAAUACAAAGUGGCGCCAAUCAACACCAUACAUUAACAUUCUAUUGCAAAAUUGAAAAUCUGGGAUGAAAUAGGAAUUUUGGUCAAACUUGAAGAAGAAAUUUUCAGCAUUGAAACUUUGAGGGCUGAUCGUAAAUCAGAUCAAACUACAGGGGAAUUAAAUCUGGGUCAAAUUUCAGGUGUAAUUGUGUAAAUUUGUAAACAGCCCAAAUAUUUAACCAUCUUCUAUAUCUUUGCGUGAUUAAGUAGUAGUGUAACAAAAUCUUGUUUCAUUAUGCUCGCUAGCUUCUUUAUUUAGUAAUAAAAUGCAAAUAUCUCCAUUUGAUUCUCCAUGCAUGUUGUAAAAAUGAUCUCAAUUUAUUGUCUAUAAAUUGAGCUGAACUAUGUGUUAGCAUCUUGCAUGUUCUUUUUCAAGCUGCAGUAUCAUCCUGACAUGAACAAGAGCCCAGGUGCGGAAGAAAAGUUCAAGGAGAUCGAUUAGUACUGCUGCAUACGAGGUAUUAUUACCCCUACACAAGCUCUAUCUGUAUCAUACAUGUAUACUUUUGCUUUUAUAUUUAAGUUUGGAUCCUGUACUGGUGCGGUUGUAAUGAUGGUUGUUUCCCAACCUGCAUUUCUGUGUGAUUACUGUAAUCUUUACAUAUUAUGCUUAAGUAAUAUAUAUAUUGUUUCCUGGAAAUGGAGUACGUCUUUCCCAUGCAUGUGCCAUGUGGUGUUGUAACAAAUCAUUCUGUAAGGUGCUAUCAGAUGACGAGAAAAUGGAGGACCAAAUGUUGGCCCGCAAGGGGUAAAAGUGUUUUCUGCAUUUCUUUAUAUCAAAUGUUACUAUCCUUUUUUCUUUAAUUUUGUCUAUGUUCUCUUCAUUUCCAUGAGAUUUCUGAAAGGUUGUUCAUUUGUUGGGGCUGCAACUUGGAUUUCGUUUAAUCUGUCAACUCAACCUGAUCAGUAGGUCAGAUUGGGCUAUGCAAUUUUGAAAUCUGUUGUGGUGUAGACCAACCGUCCCUAAAGCAAGUGGCAAAGGGCUUGGUGGUUGGUACCCGAGACCCAAGUUCGAAUCCUAGUUGAUUCACAUUUCUGGCUAAGUUUAUUUCUAAAUGAAAUAAACGAAGCGGAUAGCGUGCUACCUAUCUCUCAAAAAAAAAAACUUAUUUAAGUGCUGUCGUACGGGAUCGUGCCGAAAACUUAUCGACAUGGCACGACAUGUGUCGGGCCGUACCGAUGAGUGCCAGUCACAAAAAAUACAUGUAUGCUGAUACGUAAUGGCAUCACGUAUUUAUUUUCUUCAGCAACAAGAUUUUCUAAUUGUUUAUUAUGUAUUUUUUUCAAAUCUUUUGAAUUUAAUUGAGAAAUUACUAAGUAAUUUUUAAAAAAAGAGAGUUUAAAGGGUGAUGAUGGAAAUUUUGUAAUCAAGAUCAAGAGUGUAGAUCUUAUUCUAAAUAGUUUAAAGAAUUUUCUAACCAAAAUUCAAUUGAUUUGGAUAGCUUUACACCGUUAAACGAGAAAACGUCUCAUAUUUAUCAUUAAAAUUACAAAUUUUGAAACCCUUUGAUUAUUAGGUCAAUGAUAUCGAAAUGAUUUGAAAUUUUAUUUCUAGAUACUUCAAGUGGUAUAGAUCACGUUUAACGGUGCCGAUCGUCAAUUUAAAGGCUCCAUCAUCGAAAACAAAUGGGUGGCAACAGAGCCGGUUUGCUACCGAUAGCAUUAUAGCUCAACUUUAUAUCUAUAUAUAUAUAUAUAUAUAUAUAUAUAUAUAGUUUAGCUAGAAUACUAUCGGUAGCAAACGGGCUCCGUUGCCACUCAUUUGUUUUCGAUAUUGGAGCCUCCAAAUUGACUAUCGGCAUCGUUGAACAUGAUUUAUACCACUUGAAAUAUCUAAAAACUAAAUUUCAUAGUUUUUCGAUAUUAUUCUCUUGUCCAUCAAGUGGACACAAAAUGAGCGGCUACAAUACUGAUAGGAAUAUUGUAAUCAAAAUCGAGAGUAUAGAUCUCAUUCUAAAUAAUUUAAAAAUUUUCUAACAAAAAUUUAAUCGAUUUGGAUAUCUUUAUACCGUUAAACGAAAAAGCGUCUCAUAUCGACUAUUAAAAUUACAAAUUUUGAAACCCUUUGAUCAUUAGGUUAAUUAAUGCUGUCGAAAAGAUUUGAAAUUUAAUUUCUAGAUAUUUUAAAUGGUAUAAAUCAUGUUUAACAAUUCCGAUCGUCGAUUUGGAUUCUCUAUCAUCGAAAACAAAUGGAUGGCAACGGAAUUCGUUUAUUAUCGAUAGCAUUCCAGCUCAACUCUAUAUAUAUAUAUAUAUAUAUAUAUAUAAAAUAAGUAAAAAGAUCAUUUUAUCCGUUAAUUUUGUCAACAGGAAGAUAUAUUUAUAGAUGAAAUGAUUAUUGGAGAAAUAAAUUUUAUAACUUUAAGUUAUGCAAAAAUAUAUUUUUUAUUUGAUAUUUUUGUAAGAAUCCAUGUGCAAUUAUCCCUAAUGGAUUUGUGCCUCGCGCAAUUAUUUGACUUUUUCCUACAACAAAGCAUUUACGGCGAAAAUCGCCACGUGGCGAAAAACGAAUGGCUGUAGGUGUACGACGGGGCCGCAUGCGUGCACGCAUUUGAUCCAACCUGUAGUCAACGGUACACGUGUCGUACACCCGAACUGCCACGCAACUGCUCGGAAUGAUCCCCCACACGCCGCUACAAUUCUAUUUAAAACAAUUUUUAGUACUACGCUAACGUGUCAAAAACAUCAAAAAUUAAAGCAUUUGAAGCACCACGGGUAGGGAUGUGAAUGGAUACAAAUAUUUAAAAUUUUAUUCGAAUUCAAAUUCAAACAUAACAGAUUUAUUCGAUGCUAAAUAUAUAUAAUUUUCAAUAUGAAUGUCAAAAAAAAAAAAAUCGUCGGAUAUAGAAGAAUUCGGAUAUAGAUUUUGACUGUAUCAGAUCUAAACCCGAAUUUAUUUUACAUUAUAUAUAAUAUAAAUAUAUACAUUUGAUGCAAUUUGAAUUUGUAUUUUAAAAAUUGAGAUUUAUUGUAAUAUAUUUUGAAAUAUUAAAAAGAGAAAUACUUAUUUCGGAUUCGGAUUCAGGUUUCAGGUUCGGGUUAUUAAAAAAAUCUGCCUGGAAUCAGGCAUCGUUUUUUUUCUUCAAGUUGUCUGGAUUUGCUAAAAAUUCGUUCCUGCUCUAAUUCACUCCGUUCAAUAAAAAUUAGUCUCGCUCAAAUCCGCCCUCUCCCGCCCAGGAUAUGUUAGCUAUUAAUUAUUGAGCUAAAAUAGCUCAAACUUUCUGCCCUAUAACAAUAGGUUUAGAGACUAAUAAGUUGAGCUGAAUAAGUCUAAUAAGUUGAGUGAAAGAGUGGUCCACAAGAGACCUAACGAUAAGAGACCCAACAAUAAAUCCAACGUCCAGAUGGAUUGAGUCAGAUCGAAAAUCGCAAGCGCUGUGGUUGAGCUCUUAAGUGCGAUUGAUAUGUCAUUCCUAUUAGUAUAGCUGGUUGGCGUUUACGAUCCACAAGAUCUGCUGCCUCGUUUGCAUCACUAUCAGCGAUACCAUGGGUGGCCACCCGCACGCAAACCAUGACUCUCUCUCUCUCUCUAUAUAUAGAGAGAGAGACUCUCUCUCUAUAUAUAGAGAGAGAGAGACUCUCUCUCUAUAUAGAGAGAGAGAGAGAGAGAGAGAGAGAGAGAGAGUUGUGAAGUGCUUUCUAAUUCACUUCUAAUUCACGUAGAUUGAAUCUUAUUAUAAUUUGAGAGAUAGAGGAAGAAAGGAGGAGGAAUGGACUGCAGGAGCGAUGCAUCUUUGGCGACAGAAGCCGCCGGCGCUCCGGUGACGAAGGAACGAAAGCUCAACCUCGACCUCCAGCAGGAGCUCCCUAAACCAUGUAUGUAAAUUCGGCCCCUCCUAUCUUUCUGUCUCUUCUUCUCUCUAUAUCUCGAUCUCGAUCUCAAUCUCGAUCUCUAUCUCGAGAAGUUACUACCGGUGCUUAGGGCUGGCAAUCCAGCUUGCUGUUCGCGAGUCGGCUUUUGUUUGGCUCGAAGUGAGUUCGAGAUCGAUCGCUCAUUUAAUAAAUAAGUCGAAAACGAGUUGAAUUUUUUUUCUCUCGAAAUCGUAGUGAGCCAGACACGAGGCUCGAUAUAGCUCAAAUACUAUAUAUAUUAUAAACUUUUAACUCUUUGAAUUUUGAGCUAUUCCAAAUGUAAAGAAACUCAUAUUUUAUGAAUUUCAAUUAUUAGGGUAAAAUUCUGAUUUUUUUAAAAUAUUUUUUUUUCUAACUUUACACUCAGUACGUAGUAGUGUAAAAUUACAAUACUAUAUAUAUCGACCGUUCUUAGCGCAAGCGGCAAAGGGCAGGAAGGAAGCUAGGAUUCAAUCUCGUGGGGGGCCAAAAUAUAUUCAAGUAGAAGCUUUAGUAAUAAAUAAUACACAAGAUUUUCCCUAAUUGAAAAAUUUUUACAAAAACAUUAUUAAUUAAAUAAAUAAUGUAAAAGCAUGAACUUUAUUUUUUUAUUAUAUUAUUACAUUAAAAUAACAUAGAAAAUUUACUAAAUCUAACAGUAAUUUUUUAAUUUUUUAGUAAAUAAAAUUAACAUAGCUAUUAAAUUUGGUGCAAUCCUUGAUUUAGUCAAAUAAAAGUUUAAAAAAUUAUUAAAUAAAAUUUUUAGAGUAGAGAAAUACAUUACAAAAUACUCUACAAGCAAGAGGGUCUUAAUAUAUUUUCACCCAUAAAAAAAAGUAUACCGAUUAGAGGAAGAGAGAGAGAGAGAGAGACAGUUAUAUUGGCACCAUACUAUUAAGUGAAUAUUAAAAAUUAGGGGUGCCAAAGCUACCCAUGCCCACAAAAAAAAAAAAGAACACUGAAGGACCAUUAAGCAAAUAUUGAGAAGUUGAGGGGGGCCAUGGCCAUCUUGGGCCUCCACAUAGCUCCGUCCCUGGCGAAGUGAUUGGUUGUUGGUACCCGAUGUCUCAAGUUCAAAUUCUAAUUGAUUCACAUUUCCAGUUAAGUUUAUUUCUAAAUAAAAUAAAUGAAGCGGGCAACAUGUUAACUAUCUUUCAAAAAAAAAAUAAAACUAUCUUCUAUACAUAUUAUAUAUUAUUUCUCAUGAAGUUUGCCACGUGGCAAUUCCUCUUUUAUCCCCCCCUUCUCACUCUCUGAUGCUGCGCAUUUCCACUUCAUCUCUACCCGAUGCUUUGUCUUCCCAUCUGCUCACUUUCUAAUUAAUAUAUUCACAUGAUCCAUUUUUAUCUAAACAAAUCAUUUUUUUUAAAAAAAUAUCUAUUUGCUGUUGUAAUUUUUAUUAUUGAUAUAUAUAAUUUAUUUGCUGUUGUAAUUUUUACUACAUUUGUAUAUAUAUCUAUUUUAUAUUUUCUAUUUGUAUCUAUUUAUGUUUCAUUACAAGUCAAAAAAUUUUAAAAUUUUAAUUUUGUCAAUCUUUUAUCUUUUAUAGCAUUAGCCCAUCGCAAUGUAGGGAUAACAUCACUAUAUAUAUAUAUAUAUAGAGAGAGAGAGAGAGAGAAAGAGAGAGAGAGAGAGAGAGAGAGAGAGAGAGCUAGGCUACUAUACUAUAUAUCUAUAGUACCGUGCUCCGGUACUAUAGUGUUGGUUUUCGAUCUUAAGACAUUCAAAUCAAUGAUCCACACCGAUAAAACUGAUUUAGGGUAUUUAAAGUUUCUAGAAAUAAAAUUUUAUAUUUUUUCGACAUAGUUUACUUUAUGAUCAAACUAUUUCAAAAUUAUCAAUUUUCAAUGGCUAUUAUGACAAGUUUGGAGUUUAACGGUGUAGAAGAAUCUAAAUUUCUUCAAAUUUUGAUAGAAAAUACUUUAAACUAUAUAGAUUAAGGUUAACAUUUUUUAUCUUGAAUUUAAAAGUCCUAUACUCAAAUUUUAAAGAUUAUUCAAUUUUCACCGUCCAUUUUGAUAUAAUUUAUUUACUAAGUAAACGAUAUCGAAAAAAACCAAAAUUUUAUUUCUAAGACAUUCAUAUACCCUAGAUCAUAUUUAACGGUGUGGAUCGUUGAUUUGAACGCCCUAAGAUCGAAAACAAACACUAUAGUACCGGAGCUCUAUACUAUAGAUAGUAUAGCAGUCUAAUUCUAUACACACACACACUUUUGGAAGAUACAUACCAAACCUGGGCACUCAAAACCCUUAUCUUGAUCGAUCAUCGAUCCCAAUUAUUUAUCCGAAGUACUCAUUUGACAUGGUGCUACAGUAGGAGUACUGUACCAUCACGACCUUUUGGAGUUAGGUAAACCCUAAUAUGUUCAAAAUGUGAUCCACUGCUUCUGCAAAGUACAAUGAAUUCAAAGUACGUAGUGAUGUGUUUGCGUAGCUACUUGCCUGAUCUAUUAAUAAUAAUAAUAAAAAAGGUACACAAACAANCCUUUAGUUUUUAAGUCAUUUAAUUAUUUACUCCCAAAUAAUAAGAAAAAUAAGAGAACUUCAAUUUUACAACUAUACAAAGAAGCAUUAACGAAAAAAUACUUUUAUCUGAAUUCUAGCUCACCUAAAAGCCUACUUCCAUUUAAAAUUUCACCUUCGGAGAAACAAAUAUAUCCUAAACCGAAUAACCAAACAUAACCGACUCAUCCUCGUCGGUUCGGUUCGAUUUUAUAUAUUCCUUUGGUUUGGACCGGUUUAUAAGGGUGAAAAUAGAAAAACCCAAAUUUAACCCUAUCUACAGCUACUUGUGGAGACUAACAACAGCUUUCCAAAUUGUACUAUACUUUUAUAGCGCAUGUUUGUUUCAUCGGAAGUGAAAGGAUGUGCAGUUAUUUUCGAUCGUAAAAAUUAACUUUUGUUGUUUAAUUUGUCAUAAAUUAAAUUUGUCCAUAACACCACAUUUUUAAAAUAUCAUAAUUGAUUUCACCUACUUUGAUGCCAAAGUCAACAACAAGAGAGAAAGCAUGUAAGAAAAAUCAAAAGAAAAGGAACUGCUAUAAUUAUUUUCAAUCAUAAAUACCGACUAUUGUUGUAAAAAUUGUCUUAAAUAAAAUAAAUAAAAAAUAGUGGGAUAAUUAUAAUUCUAAUGCCAUUAACUUUCUAUCAAGUAAAUAAUGGAGAUUAUUUUUUUCUCAUGACAAAAUCACUUACGGCUGAAUAAGCCCUUAAUUUCCAAGUGAAAAUUAAUAAAAUAGUAACUACACAUUUUAUUUUUAUUUUUAUUUUUUUUCGACGGUGCAGAUCUAGCGCGGGCACUGGUGGCAGUUGAUCCGAGCCAUCCAAAUGGAACAGAAGGGUGGGACAACCGUAACAUGAGCGUGCUCCAGCAACACGUAGCAUUUUUCGAUCGAAAUGGGGAUGGAAAAGUGUAUCCAUGGGAAACAUACCAAGGUAUAUCAAAAGAUGUUGUUUAAGGAGUCCGGGGAUAAAACUUUAGUGGGAAGCUCUCCAACGACGUGUCACUGGAGAGCUUCCGAUCUGCUAUAAUGCAUAGAAUUUUUAAAUCAUAGAGAGAAUGUUUAUAAUAGAUGAAUACAGAUAAAAAUGACACAUGACGAAACAAGAUGUCGUUGGAAACCUCCCUACUAUAAAGUUAUUUUCUAAAGUCGAGUAGUUAGUGGUGAGCACUAUUGGGUUCAAUAUGAAUUACCGAAUGAAACUAACCGAAGUAGGUCGGUUUGGUUUAGUUUUACAUAUACUCGGUUCGAUUUGGUUCUAAGGGUUAAAAAUCAAAAUAGCUGUGAUAAACUGAAUAAAAAGAAAUUUUGGUAAUUCAAAUAACUGAAUGAAACUUAAAUUACAAAAAAUAAUAGAUUAGUUUUAAUAAUAAUUGUGAAACAACCGUUGUACUCUAAAAGCUUAAGCUUAGCUCUAUAAGCUUAAGCUUUUAGAGUACAACGGUUGUUUCACAUGGUAUCAGAGUAAAAGGUCCUGAGUUCGAGUCAUACCCUUAGUUAGUAAAUUCGCGAAUAAUACGCGAAUUAUUCGUGAAUUUUUGAAUAGCCGAAUUAAACGGCAGUAAACGUAUUUUUCCCAAAAGUGCGAAAAAAACGUGUUUUUUUCUCCAAAAAUAAUUAUCAGUGAAUUAUUCUUGAUUCGCGAAUAAUUCGCUCAAAUAAACGGCCCGCGAGUCGGAUACGCUCGUCGUCGUCCUUCUCCACCGCCGCCCUGGCGGCGCUGGGAGCAAGAGGGCCGCAGCUACAGUUCCGGCCUCGCCCGACGCCGUCCGCUUUCGCCCAAAAAAAGGGCUCGCGAGUCGGCGACACUCGUCAUCGUCGUCCUCCGCCGCCGCCCUGGCCGGCGCCGGGAGCAAGAGGGCCGUGACUACGGUUCCCAUCUCGCUCGACGCCGUCCACGACUCUGCGUACCGUCCGCAGGAAUAAAAAAUCAACAGGAAAAAGGCGCGGUGUUGCGCCCCGAACGGAGGCAAGGGCACGCACGGUCCACGAGGCCACGUCGGCAUCGUGGACCGGAUAAGAGGGAGGUCCAUGUUAGACCUCCCUCUCAUUAUAUAUAUAUAUAUAUAUAUAUAUAUAUAUAUAUAUAUAUAUAGCAGGGCUGCUGUGCUCUCAGGAGCACGGAGCCCUCCGUGCUUCUGAGUCGUUUUCGAUGAUGGAAUUUCCGAAUCGACGAUCGGCUCCGUUAGACUUGAUCUAGCAUAUUUGAAGUUUCUAGAAAAUAAUUUUUGCAAUUUUUCGAUAUCAUUUACCUAGCAAUCGAAAGGAUUCAAUAUCAAUAAUUUUUAACGGCUGAAAAUAAAAAUCAUAUAAAAAGUGGUGAUAUAGCAUUAAAAUUUUUGAUCAGAAAUAUUGACCUUGUUGUAGAUAGUAUAAAAAAUUUUGUAUCAAAAUUUCAUCUGAUUUGAAUACUUCUACACCGUUAAACUUGAAAACGGCAGAUAUCAACCAUUAAAAAUUAUUGAUUUUGAAUCUUUCGAUCACUAGGUAAAUGAUAUCAAAAAAUCGCAAAAAUUAUUUUCUAGAAACUUCAAAUACCCUAGAUCAAGUCUAACGGAGCCGAUCGUCGAUUCGAAAAUUCCAUCAUCGAAAACGGCUCAAGAGCACGGAGGCCUCCGUACUCCUGAGAGCAUAGCAGCCCUACUAUAUAUAUAUAUAUAUAUAGAGAGAGAGAGAGAGAGAGAGAGAGAGUUAUGGUGUUUUUAAAAGCACCAAGCACUUGAUGCUUCUAAGUGUUUCUGCCGUUAAAUUUACCUCAUUGAUCAUUUCUAUCCAUUAGAUCAUACUAUUCAACCAAUCACUCUCUCAACUCUAGGAGAUAACUAUCAUCCUAACUGCACAUCGCUUCAUCCAAGAGCCGAAAACCUAAUAGCACCAAUGACUUGAUGCUACUAAUAGUGUAGCAUAAUUCUCUCUCUCUCUCUCUGUAUAUAAGAAGUGCUUCUAUAUUUUUUAUUUUUUGAUAUCGUUCAUUCAAUGGCUCAGAUUUAUUUAUAUUUUUAAGUUAUGAUCUGCGAUAGUAAGUCACUUUGAAAGAGUCAUUUUGAAAGAUGUACCGGUUACUAGAUACCCGAAAAAAAAAAAAAUAUUUGGCUCUUUCGAUAUUGAGAAUAAUUAAGUAUUUUUGCCCUCAUUAUACUAUCUAACAUCCAUCUUCUCUCUCUGUUGCCCAAAAAACGUAUAGUUGUUUUGUGGACCGAGUAUGGAUUUUGUUUGUACCCACCUUAAAUCCGGCCCAAAUCCUAAUUAAUUUUAUAUUAUAUAUAAUAUAUAUAAAAUUUGAUGNUGAUAUUAUUAAUAUAUAUUUAUUACAAUUUUAAAUAUAUUUAAUUUAUAUAUAAAAAUUAUAAUAAAAAUAUAUAUAGUAUAUUAAUUAUUAUAUAUUUAUUAUAUAGCCGAAUUUUCGAUCCCGAAUUUUUAAUUGGUGAACGUAUAAUAUCCGUAUAAAUCACGUAUCCAAAUAAUUACCGAAUCCGUUUUUUAGGCGUAUUUUUCAACGAAUUUAAAAAUUAAAAGACAAAUUUUAUCCGAAUUAUAUCCGAACCGAAUUUUUGCCGAAUCCGAAUUAACUAACUAUGGUGAUACCAGGCUCCUAGCAAAUUUCCUCCCAUUUAAUUCAAGCCCACGUCAUAAACCGACUAAAAAGUCUCGAGCCUAGACGUGAGGGGGUGUUAAAUAUAAAAAUAUAUAAACACCAUGCUCUAACAGCUUAAGUUUUUAGAGUACAACGGUUGUUUCACAUAGUAUCAGUGCAGAAGGUCCUGAGUUCUAGUCACACCAGGUUCCUUGCAUAUUAAUUUCAUACCAUUUAAUUCAAGUCCACGUCAUAGGCCGACUAAAAAAGUCUCGAGCCCAGACGUGAGGGGGAGUGUUAAAUAUAAAAAUAUAUAAACACCGUACUCUAACAGUGUAAGCUUUUAGAGUACAACGAUUGUUUCACAUGAUAUCAGAGCAGAAGGUUCUGAGUUCGAGUCACACCAGGCUCCUAGCAUAUUAAUUUUCUCUCAUUUAAUUCAAGCUCAUGUCAUGGACCGACUAAAGAAGUCUUGAGCCCAGACAUGUUUAAAACACCGUUCUCUAACAACGGUUGUUUCACAAUAAUCAAAUAGUUGGGCAUAUUAAUUAUGAUUAUAUCUUAUUUUUAGUAGUUUUUUUAAAAAAAAACUUAAACUAAAUAAAAAUAUUUUACCAAAACCAUAUAAACUGAAUCGAAAUCGGUUCGGUUCGGUUCGAUUCAGUUCAUCCUUCUAAUUCGGUUUGAUUUGAUUUCAUUUGAUUUUUUUUUUUAUAAUACUAUAAAAAUCGAACCGAACGGACCAAUGCUUACACUUAUUGGUAGUUAUAUAUCUCAUGUUCUUGGUAUUUAAAAUCAUUUAUUAGGCUUUAUCCUUUUCAAUUUUUCAGGUUUUCGUGCAAUUGGUUGUGGAUUCUUAACAUCUCUUGGCGCUGCUAUCUUCGUAAAUCUUUUCCUGAGUUUUCCCACCCAACAAGUAAGAUUCAUGUUGCACAUAUAAUAUUAUUGAUAGUUUUCACGACUACCAAUUUUUGAUCCUGGAAUGUUUAGGGUUUAUGCUACGGUAGUGGUAUUCUUAUGGAUCCGAGGACUAGAAAAUUGAUAGUGUUGGUUUAAGGACUAGUGCUCUGCCUCAUGGCGGGAGGUAGGAUUGGGCCAAAUAACGUUCGAAAUAGUGGGAAGCUUGUUGGAUUUUAUUGAGUUUGUUAUGACUUAAAACUUAUUAAAACUAUUUGAUUGGAUUUCUUUAUUGUGUUUGUUGUGAUUUAUUCUUUGAGUUUUAUUCUUAUCUUUAUAUUUAUUCUAAUCCUAAUCCUUUUAGGUAUAAUCUUAGGCUUAUCUUGUUCUACUUAGAUUUAAUGAGAUAGAACAAGAUCCUCGCAUUGAUUAUAAAUAUGGGGCGAGGGUGCACGAGUUAAUUAUGAAUAAUAAUAACCCGGGCAUACCAAAAGCCUCUUGUCUUUUUCUACUUUCUCGCUAUUAAUUUUCGCCGAGUUUUCGUUGAUGGAUCUGAAGCUCGUUGAGUUCGUCUUGCGCCACCUUGAAAGCGUGCCCACGGGGUGGAACGUGGUCGUUGUAUCGCUAUGAGUAAUUGCCGGUAAGCCUCGCACGUGGAGGGGCAAUUUCGCUUCUAGGACAGUGCUCUGCACGCCUCGAUCCACAGGCCUUAUCUAAACCUUAUCUUUUCAAUAUUUUUGUUUAAUUUUGUUUUGGGAUUUUUCCAAACUUGAAUUUUAAUUUCCGAUUUGGUUUUUAAAGAAUAUUGUAAUAAAAGAUCAGAAAGAUUUUUCCAACAAAGCUAUGUUGAGUUAGGUCACAUUUGAAAUGGCCGAAGACUAGCUGGAUUGAGUCACGAUCGAAACCUUUGAAUGUUGUCUCUAUAUGUUCACUACAACAGAAUUAGAUUAUAGCGACACAUUUUUGGGACACUUUUAUAUAAGUGUUCUAUUUAUACCAAAUUUUUUUAAAAAAAUCUACUAACGCCUAAAUAUAAAUCUCAAUUCAAUCAAAAAUAAAAAGUUUCUCUACUUAACCAACCACACACUGUCCACUCGGCCCGAUUACAAAUAAAAAAGAAAAAAAAAGAAAAAAUUGAUCAACAUCUCCCCUUCUCCUCCUCCGCUGCUGUAACCGACGACGAGGUAGAAUUCCGGUGGCUGGAGUUCGGCCGGAGGGAUCUCGCAAGGACCAUAAAAGACUAUGAUCGCCACGUAUCCCUCCACAUAAGUCGCUGGAGGAGUGGGUGCUAAAUAUCAAGGCGACCCUACUUAUAGUGACCCUACUUAUAGCAACAUUUUUAAAAAUGUCGGUAAUUUAGCCAGUAACACUUUUUUUGACAUGUACCGAUAUUUAAAAGUAUCGCUAUACACCGUUUUUGUUGUAGUGGUUUUAAAUGAAUUAUUUGUGCCUUUCUGAUAGCUUGACAUUUUGGAAUUAAUAGGUUAUGUUAACAAUCCUACAUAUUGUAACAAGUGCUUUGCUCGUACCAAUAAUAUUUUGGCUCAACUUCAUAUAUAUACAGUACUAAUAAUUUGUUGAAUCUAAGCCAUGGGAUCAAAAUAUUUAAAUACAGUCGUUAAUAUUAGCGUAUGUGACUCACACUCUUCCACAUUAUUUUGGACUAUUGGGAUAUCACCGAUUCCCCUAUUUAGACCUUGACGUUCUCGUCACGCCUAAGUGCGUACGAUGUCCACUCUCACUCCUAAUUGAAUCCCAUCUCAUUACUUUCAACUGGUUAUCU